Molecule: ribosomal RNA, 419 nt
Filed under: Acinetobacter sp. SM85
Lineage: Bacteria; Pseudomonadati; Pseudomonadota; Gammaproteobacteria; Moraxellales; Moraxellaceae
Description: bacterial SSU rRNA
Rfam family: Bacterial small subunit ribosomal RNA
Source: RNAcentral
UCAAACGGGAAGAACCUACCUGGCCUUGACAUAGUAAGAACUUUCCAGAGAUGGAUUGGUGCCUUUGGGAACUUACAAACCGGUUGUGCAUGGCUGUUGUCAACUUGUGUCGUGAGAUGUUGGGUUAAGUUCCGCAACGAGCGCCACCCUUUUCCUUAUUUUCCAACGAGUAAGGUCGGGAACUUUAAGGAUACUGCCAGUGACAAACUGGAGGAAGGCGGGGACGACGUCAAGUCAUCAUGGCCCUUACGGCCAGGGCUACACACGUGCUACAAUGGUAGGUACAAAGGGAAGCGACCUAGCGAUAGCAAGCUAAUCUCAAAAAGCCGAUCGUAGUCCGGAUUGGAGUCUGCAACUCGACUCCAUGAAGUCGGAAUCGCUAGUAAUCGCGGAUCAGAAUGUCCGCGGGAAUACGACGU